Molecule: transfer RNA, 86 nt
Filed under: Clostridia bacterium
Lineage: Bacteria; Bacillati; Bacillota; Clostridia
Description: tRNA-Leu
Rfam family: tRNA
About the family: Transfer RNA (tRNA) molecules are approximately 80 nucleotides in length. Their secondary structure includes four short double-helical elements and three loops (D, anti-codon, and T loops).
Source: RNAcentral
UGCCGGCGUGGCGGAACAGGCAGACGCGCAGGACUUAAAAUCCUGUCGGGGUAACUCGGUACCGGUUCGAUUCCGGUCGCCGGCAU